RNAcentral lists this long non-coding RNA (2380 nucleotides) under Bos indicus x Bos taurus (hybrid cattle). Its description in RNAcentral is "lncRNA (ENSBIXG00005025942.1)". The record is from RNAcentral. Lineage: Eukaryota; Metazoa; Chordata; Mammalia; Artiodactyla; Bovidae.
CCAUCCCCAUUCCACCACCAAACAAAACAAGAACUGUUGGAUCAAUUUGGGAAUCGCCUUCUGCAGCUUCCUUCUAACUGUGGGAUUUCAUUCUGUGGACACCUGCUUCUAAAUAAAUACCUGUGUUUCCCUAAGAGCACUUUUGAUAAAUAAUGUCUCCUCCACCUUUGCAAUGGGAUGCCCAGUUCUUGUUAAGGCUGAAGGUAGAUUCUCCAUGGGGAAUUCUGAAAUGCAGGAGACACACACAGAGAACAAAAAAGAAAAAGCAGGUGAAGAAAGGAGAUUCUGCACCUCAAGCAGGACUUUCUCUGCCUCCUUAUGGAGCAAAACAGACCCAGUCCUUUCCCCAAUAUUUAAGCCCCAUUGCACACCCCUGCCCCAAAGGAUUAAAGGAUGGUUCACUGGAGAAGGAAACGGCAACCCACUCCAGUAUUCAUGCCUGGAAAAUCCCAUGGACCGAGGAGCCUGGUGGGCUACACUCCAUGGGGUCGCAGAGUCGGACAUGACCGAGCGACUUGUGUGUGUGUGUGUGUGUGUGUUAAAAAAAAAAAAAAAAAAGGAUGGUUCAGAGUAUUGACAGCCCUGAGUGACCCCUACCCUGUGCCAAGCAGUUGGGACCUUGAGUCAGAUGAAUCCAGAUCACAGAAACAUUUGAGAAUCAGUUUCCAGAAUGUGGGGUGGGAAGAGGGUUCAUCUUGCCUCCGUUGGAGUGAAAGUGUUAGUUGCUCAGUUGUGUCUGACUCUUUGCAACCCCAUGGACUGUACCCAGAAGGCUCCUCUGUCUGUGAAUUCUCCAGGCAAGAAUGCUGGAGCAGGUUGCCAUUUCCUUCUCCAGGGGAUCUUCUCGACCCAGGGACUGAACCGCAGUCUCCUGCUUUGGCAGGGGGAUUCUUUACCAUCUGGGCCACCAGGGAGGCCUGUUGGGUUGAGAUGCUCCCUUGGUCUUUUUCCACCCCUCUCUAUCCCACUACCCCAUCUGUAACUCCGGUUUGUUCAUGCACAGGAGGGAGAACUCUGACCACUCCACUCCCAUAUAGUACUCCGAGAAAGCUGAGGCCCACAUGGGCCCAAGGAAAGGACUCAUUUUUUCCACAUGCCCUGGCACAUGAGGACCCAGAAGCUACAGGAAAGGUGCCUGAGGAAGCGGCAGGCUUCGAUCCAUGGAACUGGAUCGAAGACUGGAGGCUGUGUGACCAGAACCUGCUCAAGGAAGAUGUCAGGAGCAUCUCUGAGUUAGCCUCCAGGGCAACAAAUUAUACUCAGCCCACCUACUCAGGACACACUGACCUGGCUGGUGCGGAGAAGUUCUGCCCCUUGCCCCUGCACCCAAGGAUGGAUAUAAAGACAGUGCAUUGCUGGUGCAUCUUCGAUAGGAUUUGACAACUGGGUCCUGUCUGAGGACUGAGCUGUGGUGUGAUGCCUCCAGUGAGAGCAACGGAACUCUCUUGAGAAUCAGAUCAGCUACUGGUGAGAAGAAGGAGCUGUGCCUGCCUCCCUCCCCAAACCGUGCUUCCAAGGCAGUGAGGGAGCAGGCCCAGGAAUGCAGUGCGGGGCUAGUGACCUAUCUGAGGCCCCAGGCACUGUCUGGGGCAUCUUUUUUUUUCCAUUUUAGCUUUUUAUAGAUCUAUAAUACAUAUCCAGCAAAAUGUCAGAUGGUGAGUAUGCAGCUCAAUGAAUUUUCACAUUCUGAAUUCACUUGUAUAUUCCACACCCUGAUUAACAAACAGCAUCACCAGCAAUCCAGAAUCCCCUCAGAGACUCACUUUGGUCACUAUAUGCUCUGCAGGCAAUCACUAUCCUAAGUGUUCUUAUUGAGAUAAAACUGAUAUGAUGUCAAAUUAACCAUUUGAAAGUGAACAGUUCAGUAUCACUUAAUCCACUCACAAUGCUGUGCAACCAUGCCCACCUCUGUUUAGUUCCAAAACACUGUCAUCACCCCAAAACAAAGCCCCUCACCCAGGAAGCAGUUCCUCAUCUAUAACCUACCUCACCUCAGCUCCUGGAAACCACCUCUCCGCUUUUUGUUCCUAGAUUUACCUAUUCUGUAUAUUCAUACAAAAGGAGUCAGACAGCAUAUGACCUUUCAUGUUUGGCUUCUUUCACUUAGUGUAAGGUUUUCAAGAUUCAUCCACUUUAUAGCUUCAUCCUUUGUAUCGCUGAACUAUAUGAAUGGGGUACAUUUCUUUAUGCAUUCAUCUAUUGAUGAGUUAUUAUCACUUUUGGUCUAUUAUGAAUAAUGUUGCUCCAAACAUUCAUGUACAAGUGUUUGUUUUAGUACCUGGUUUCAAAUCUUUCAUGUAUAUAUCAAGGAGUGGAAUUUCUGAGCCAUAAGGCAAUCCUAUAUUUAACUUUUUGAGGAACUGCAAAACUGUCUUCCAAA